Non-coding RNA from Cyanistes caeruleus (blue tit), 610 nucleotides. The record is from RefSeq and is a predicted model, not a curated record. NCBI's taxonomy places the organism in Eukaryota, Metazoa, Chordata, Aves, Passeriformes, Paridae.
UCCCGCUCCCUUCCCCCCACGCCCGCACUUUGCCAUUUAACAAAGCGGCGCAACCAAAAGUUACGUUUCCAUAGACGCCAGCCGCUUUCCUGGCGGCCCCUCCUCGGCUGCUGGGGCUGCUCUGGGAAAAGCAGGGUUUCACCCGUCAAAGAUUAACGCGGGACUCGGGGGAUCGUCUUUCUCCCCCCUCCGCUUUUUCCACAGAAUGACAGAAGCGUUUGGGUUGGAGAUCAGCUACUUCAAGCCCCGGGCAAGGCAGGGUCACCUGGAGCAGGUGACACAGGAACACGUCCAGGUAUCAGACAUCUGCAAGACACAGGUUGACACGUUGACAACAAUAAUCUGACUUGUCCGCCAAACAAACCUUGGAAUUGUUCCCAUUCAGAUGAAUGUUGGAUUGUGGACCAGACACAUGGACCAAACCUGCUACAGGGCAACCCAGCAAGAAGCAGCAGGGAUGGACACUGAGAAAAGGCAAAGCAAUUGUGUCUGCAGCAGUUCCCUGCCCUGAUUCACACAUCUCCACAAACGUGUGUCACCAUAAUGGCAAGGCAGGAAGUGUUUAUGCCAAUGCUUCUGCCAAGAAAACGUACAUGGGAAAAAUGGGACC